Molecule: RNase P RNA, 239 nt
Filed under: Candidatus Nanopusillus sp.
Lineage: Archaea; Nanobdellati; Nanobdellota; Candidatus Nanoarchaeia; Nanoarchaeales; Nanopusillaceae
Description: RNase P RNA component
Rfam family: Archaeal RNase P
About the family: Ribonuclease P (RNase P) is a ubiquitous endoribonuclease, found in archaea, bacteria and eukarya as well as chloroplasts and mitochondria. Its best characterised activity is the generation of mature 5'-ends of tRNAs by cleaving the 5'-leader elements of precursor-tRNAs.
Source: RNAcentral
GACGGUCUCCGUUGGAAGGACCGCCUACCGAAAUGGGCCGGGGAAACCCGGCAGGGGAAACCCUGGGCAAUGCUGCAAGAAAUCAAGGGGUCUAGUCCGAUGAAGAUGAAAAGUAAGGUUCGGGGGCAACCCCGAACUAACCUGGAGAGGACUAGACAUACCUUGAGAAAAGCAUCCCCCUGGUACAAGGAAAAACCGCUUAGAAAAAUAUAUACUAAAGGCGGCCUACGGAGACCGUC